GAUGAACGCUGGCGGCGUGCCUAAUACAUGCAAGUCGAGCGAACAGACGAGGAGCUUGCUCCUCUGACGUUAGCGGCGGACGGGUGAGUAACACGUGGAUAACCUACCUAUAAGACUGGGAUAACUUCGGGAAACCGGAGCUAAUACCGGAUAAUAUAUUGAACCGCAUGGUUCAAUAGUGAAAGACGGUUUUGCUGUCACUUAUAGAUGGAUCCGCGCCUCAUUAGCUAGUUGGUAAGGUAACGGCUUACCAAGGCGACGAUGCGUAGCCGAACUGAGAGGGUGAUCGGCCACACUGGAACUGAGACACGGUCCAGACUCCUACGGGAGGCAGCAGUAGGGAAUCUUGCGCAAUGGGCGAAAGCCUGACGGAGCAACGCCGCGUGAGUGAUGAAGGUCUUCGGAUCGUAAAACUCUGUUAUUAGGGAAGAACAAAUGUGUAAGUAACUAUGCACGUCUUGACGGUACCUAAUCAGAAAGCCACGGCUAACUACGUG
Molecule: ribosomal RNA, 497 nt
Filed under: uncultured bacterium
Lineage: Bacteria
Description: partial 16S ribosomal RNA
Rfam family: Bacterial small subunit ribosomal RNA
Source: RNAcentral